This 508-nucleotide ribosomal RNA is filed under the name Glomus sp. Glo3c. RNAcentral's name for it is "SSU rRNA". It matches the Rfam family "Eukaryotic small subunit ribosomal RNA", at positions 569 to 1078 of the family's 1831-position model. The record is from RNAcentral. Lineage: Eukaryota; Fungi; Glomeromycota; Glomeromycetes; Glomerales; Glomeraceae.
AGCAUCCGCGGUAAUUCCAGCUCCAAUAGCGUAUAUUAAAGUUGUUGCAGUUAAAAGCUCGUAGUUGAAUUUCGGGGUCAGUAGGUCGGUCGUGCCACUGGUAUGAACUGGUUUUACUGAUUCCUCCCUCUUGAAGAACUGUAAUGCCAUUAAUUUGGUGUUGCAGGGAAUCAGGACUGUUACUUUGAAAAAAUUAGAGUGUUUAAAGCAGGCUUUAGCUUGAAUACAUUAGCAUGGAAUAAUGAAAUAGGACGUUUGAUCCUAUUUUGUUGGUUUCUAGGAUUGACGUAAUGAUUAAUAGGGAUAGUUGGGGGCAUUAGUAUUCAAUUGUCAGAGGUGAAAUUCUUGGAUUUAUUGAAGACUAACUACUGCGAAAGCAUUUGCCAAGGAUGUUUUCAUUAAUCAAGAACGAAAGUUAGGGGAUCGAAGACGAUCAGAUACCGUGCGUAGUCUUAACCAUAAACUAAGCCGACUAGGGAUCGGAUGAUGUUAAUUUUUUAAUGACUCA